UACGGGGGGAGCAAGCGUUGUUCGGAUUUACUGGGCGUAAAGGGCGCGUAGGCGGUCAGCACAAGUCAGUUGUGAAAUCUCCGGGCUUAACUCGGAAAGGUCAACUGAUACUGUGCGACUAGAGUGCAGAAGGGGCAACUGGAAUUCUCGGUGUAGCGGUGAAAUGCGUAGAUAUCGGAAGGAACACCUGUGGCGAAAGCGGCUCACUGGACCAUUACUGACGCUGAUGCACGAAAGCUAGGGGAGCAAACAGG
RNAcentral lists this ribosomal RNA (254 nucleotides) under uncultured bacterium. RNAcentral describes it as "partial 16S ribosomal RNA". It matches the Rfam family "Bacterial small subunit ribosomal RNA", at positions 524 to 776 of the family's 1533-position model. The record is from RNAcentral.